AUGGAAAGGUCCUGACCCCAGUAAUUGUCUGGAGUCGGGGGUCUGUUUGUGUGUUUCCACAGGGAGAACAGCAGCCGAUUUGGAUUCCAGAGAGAUUAACUAAAGCGAUUUCUACAGACCAAAAAUAAGAUGAUUUGGCUCAAAUCCAUAACAGCUGAUAUCCAGAACUCCAGUUUGGCUACCCUUACAUCUGCGACAGAACCAGGAUGCUUUUUUCAAUAUCUAUUUUAUUAUUGCCCUUUCCCACAUCAUGAAGUUCUAUUUUGUUUUUUGAGCUCAUACAGACCUAGGUUAAUGUUUUGCUGAUCAGUUCUAUUUUUUGACUAUAGAGUUUUUAAACAUUGCAAUGGAGAUUUCACCUGUAAAAAGUUAUAAGU
RNAcentral lists this long non-coding RNA (377 nucleotides) under Marmota monax (woodchuck). Lineage: Eukaryota; Metazoa; Chordata; Mammalia; Rodentia; Sciuridae. The record is from RNAcentral.